GACGAACCGUGCGAACGUUAUUCGGAAUCACUGGGCUUAAAGCGCGUGUAGGCGGGUCGGCACGUCGGUCGCUGAAAUCCCCCGGCUUAACCGGGGAACGGGCGUCGAUACGACCGUCCUGGAGGGGCGUAGGGGGACCUGGAACUUCCGGUGGAGCGGUGAAAUGCGUUGAGAUCGGAAGGAACGCCCGUGGCGAAAGCGAGGUCCUGGACGCCUACUGACGCUGAGACGCGAAAGCCAGGGGAGCGAACGGG
RNAcentral lists this ribosomal RNA (254 nucleotides) under uncultured bacterium. Its description in RNAcentral is "partial 16S ribosomal RNA". It matches the Rfam family "Bacterial small subunit ribosomal RNA", at positions 524 to 776 of the family's 1533-position model. The record is from RNAcentral.